GAUUACAUGAUUUGGCAUCUAUUCCAAAAUGUAAGACGAAUGGUUUUCUUUAAUUAAAGAUAAAAAUCAUUAUUUGAAUAUGUUAGAUUAAGGACAUUUAAAUAAAAAUACUCCUACACAUAGGCUUGAGUAGAUUUUAUUUGAUUGCUUUGAAAAUGAUUGGGUUUGCUAAAUUCUACACGGUUUCUAUUUCUUUUCUUAAAAUAAAGAUUUUAUCAUUUAACAGUAAUAAAAGAAAUAUUAGGUUAGACUAACCCAAAUCAAUAGAUACACUCCUUACAUCUCACCCUAAAAUCCUAAUACGCUUGAAGAGUUGCAAAUGAAAUCAACUGUACACAAAUGUGGCAAUCAAUGAAAUCAACUGUACAUAGAGCUCCACAGAUGAGAACCUGUAGACAAAAGCAAAUAUCAAGACCCUUAACCUUCAAAGCUCGAUCCACCAAGAGCCACCAACGCGGACAAAGCUCAAGGACAAAGACGAUGAUCCUUAGAAAGUCACAACACCCAUCCCAUCUGGAUGAACAUGGCCAGCAAUGCACACCGGAAUCUCCUCGAUCCAACCAAGAUUUUCAAUAGCUGAGAUUCCUGUUUUGAGAGAAUGUGAGCCCACUGAUUUACUCCACCACAAACAUGGCAAAAGACACAAGAGCAAAAACUGGUAGCCAACCGACGACCAUCAACAACAAACCCACAGAAGAAAUUUUUUUGCUGAUUCUCUUUUAUGCUGUGAUGGUGGUGAAAUGGUGAUAGAGUAAGUAGUGUUGGUGAAGGUGGUGGCUAUGGUUUAGAGAGGGCAGAGAGUGAUCUUGAUGGUGGGCGGUUGGGGAGCCUCGGUAGUGAUGAGAUGGUGGAGGUUCUGGGCAGUAAAAUUGCGGUGGAGAAGGGUACGGUGGGGGAGUUUGGGUGGCUUUGACUCUGACGUGGCGAGGAUAAGUGAUGGGAGGCAUGAAGAUGUUGUAUGGUGAUGGUAGGUAGAAAAGAAAAUAGUAAAACGGAGAGGAAAAGAAAAGAAAAAGUAAAUUUUUAUGUUGUAAAAAAAAAAUCUGAAUUAGAGAGGU
RNAcentral lists this long non-coding RNA (1058 nucleotides) under Gossypium barbadense (sea-island cotton). RNAcentral's name for it is "long non-coding RNA (GBAR_LNC022645)". The record is from RNAcentral. Lineage: Eukaryota; Viridiplantae; Streptophyta; Magnoliopsida; Malvales; Malvaceae.